GACGAACGCUGGCGGCGUGCCUAACACAUGCAAGUCGAACGGAGUUAAGUGCUUCGGUAUUUAACUUAGUGGCGAACGGGUGAGUAACGCGUGAGAAACCUGCCUUUCAGAGGGGGACAACAGUUGGAAACGACUGCUAAUACCGCAUAAGCCCACAGCUCGGCAUCGAGCAGAGGGAAAAGGAGUGAUCCGCUUUGAGAUGGCCUCGCGUCCGAUUAGCUAGUUGGUGAGGUAACGGCCCACCAAGGCAACGAUCGGUAGCCGGACUGAGAGGUUGAACGGCCACAUUGGGACUGAGACACGGCCCAG
This 309-nucleotide ribosomal RNA is filed under the name uncultured bacterium. Its description in RNAcentral is "bacterial SSU rRNA". It matches the Rfam family "Bacterial small subunit ribosomal RNA", at positions 28 to 334 of the family's 1533-position model. The record is from RNAcentral.